This 423-nucleotide ribosomal RNA is filed under the name uncultured bacterium. RNAcentral's name for it is "bacterial SSU rRNA". It matches the Rfam family "Bacterial small subunit ribosomal RNA", at positions 354 to 774 of the family's 1533-position model. The record is from RNAcentral.
GUGAGGAAUAUUGGGCAAUGCCCGCAAGGGUGACCCAGCAACGCCGCGUGGAGGAUGAAUGUCGUAAGAUUGUAAACUCCUGUUAGAGGGGAAGAAUAGUACCGGUUGGACCGGUAUAUGACUGUACCCUCAGAGAAAGCCCCGGCUAACUACGUGCCAGCAGCCGCGGUAAUACGUAGGGGGCAAGCGUUGUCCGGAUUUACUGGGUGUAAAGGGCGCGCAGGCGGGAUAAAAAGUCAGUGGUGAAAUCCUACAGCUUAACUGUAGAACUGCCUUUGAUACUUUUAUUCUUGAGUUCGGGAGAGAGAGACGGAAUUCCAGGUGUAGUGGUGAAAUACAUAGAUAUCUGGAAGAACACCAGUUGCGAAGGCGGUCUCUUGGUCCGACACUGACGCUGAGGCGCGAAAGCGUGGGGAGCAAACA